RNAcentral lists this ribosomal RNA (109 nucleotides) under Paramormyrops kingsleyae. The record is from RNAcentral. Lineage: Eukaryota; Metazoa; Chordata; Actinopteri; Osteoglossiformes; Mormyridae.
GUUAGCAGUCAUACCACCUGCAGUUCAGACCAGCUAAUCUGAAGCUAAGCAUGUUUGGGCCUGACCAGUGGAUGGGAAACCGCCUAGGAAAGCUGGGCUGCUGCUAGAA